UCUGAAAGUGGGUGGGAGUGUGUGGGACGCGCCAGGGCGGGGCGGCCAGUGCAUGGCACAGCACCCUGGCUUCCUGCGGAGCCGGCUGCAUCCACACCUGUUCCUCCUGUGCCCGAGCCUGUGAGGUCAUUGUGCGUGCACAUGUGUACUGUAUGUGUUUACAUGCCUGCAUGUGUGUAAUGUGUGCAUGUGUUGUGCAUAUAUGUGUUUGCAUGGGUGUUGUGUGUGAGACUGCAUGUAUUUGUGAUGUGCACAUGUGUGGUGUGUAUAUGUAUGUGCAUGUGUGUGAUGUGUGGUGUGUGCAUGUGGGUGGUGUGUGUGUGGUGUGUGCAUGUGUGUGUUGUGUAUGCGUGUGGGAUGUUUGUGAUGUGUGCAUUUUGUGAUGUGUGCAUAUGUGCGGUGUGUGUGUGGUGUGUGCAUGUGUGUGGUGUGUGUGUAUAUGUGUGUAAUGUGUCCAUUUUGUGAUGUAUGCAUAUGUCAGUGUGUGUAUGGUGUGUGCAUGUGUGUGGUGUGUGUGUAUAUGUGUGCGAUGUGUACAUUUUGUGAUGUAUGCAUAUGUGUGGCAUGAUGUGAGUGGUGUGGUGUGUGCAUGUGUGUGUGCAUGUGUGAGUGUGUGCGCCCAUUCUGCUUGGUGAUCAUGGGCCCUGCCUGGGAGGCAGAGUGAGGAGCCGCCAGCCCCCGGGUGCACAGGUGGACCUUCCAGCUGGUCCGUAUUGGGGACCCCUUGCCCCUGCAGUCCCCACCAUCAGGACUGCACCCCCUUCUUUGCUGAGGCCCAGCUGGGAGUGACUUUCUCGCUAGAGCCUGGCCCUCCUCGUGAGACCCUACUGUGGUCAUCUCUGAUGGCUUGGCCAGCGUUCUCCUUCCUCUUUGCACACGUCACUCCUUCCAGCUACUCCAUGUCCGAGGAUGUGAGUGGUUAUUAAUUUUGUGCAGCGUAUGAUGACCCCUUCCAGAACAGAGCUCGAGCUCUGCCCCCUAGAGCUUGUGGGACGGGACACCAAAGUGCCUGCAGUCCCUCCUCUCCAGCCUGCAUUUCCCACCCAUCCUCGGCUUGCUCUUGCCUGCCCAGUGCAGAGAAGCGAGCUUGCCUGGGAUUGCAGGGGUGCUCGGCAGGUCCUCUCCCUCGAUCCAAGCUUUCCUACCCCCUCACUGCCUUCCAAAGACCGAUUCUAAUACUGCAGGGAGGAAAUGCAUAGAACAGGCUGGCUCUGCUCCAACGUGACUGUGCUAUGCGGGCUCAUCGAGGCCUGGUCGUGUUUGAAAUCUCAUUUAUUUCACCACUCUCAAUCGUGCACUACGUGGGGCCUGGCUUAGCCCGAGUGUCUGAUGAGGGAUUUGCGGAGUGGUUCAGCAUGCUUCACUGUGAGUCUCCAGCCACCAGCAAAGGGAAGAGCCCGGAGACCCAGAAGCAGCAGGGAGGGUUCUGGAGCUGGCACCUGCAGCCGGGUGGGGAAGUAGGUGCGAGCACUCCCCGGGAAGCCUACACAGCUCCCUUCAUCUUUUAAAAUGAAGGGCAUCUUUCGCUCUCAUUUUUUAGUUCACCAUUGAGUCGCCCUUGGCACGCUUUGUUUUUCAUCUAAACAAACCCUGUCGGGAAGCCACCAGGCACCAGGCGUGUCUCACAGUGCAUGGACCACUGCGUGAGAGCAGCGUGGAUUUCACGAUCAGACGGUUGCUUGCAGCCUGCAUGAGAUGAAUGAGCGCUGUCUGCCCUGGGAACAUCACAGGGGUGGUCACAGUGCAGUGUUUUGGGGUCACUUUUGGUUUUA
This 1772-nucleotide long non-coding RNA is filed under the name Homo sapiens (human). RNAcentral describes it as "HSALNT0402268". Lineage: Eukaryota; Metazoa; Chordata; Mammalia; Primates; Hominidae. The record is from RNAcentral.